Molecule: ribosomal RNA, 372 nt
Filed under: uncultured organism
Description: partial 16S ribosomal RNA
Rfam family: Bacterial small subunit ribosomal RNA
Source: RNAcentral
GUAGGUGGCAAGCGUUGUCCGGAAUUAUUGGGCGUAAAGCGCGCGCAGGCGGCCUUUAAGUCUGAUGUGAAAGCCCACGGCUCAACCGUGGAGGGUCAUUGGAAACUGGGGGACUUGAGUACAGAAGAGGAAAGCGGAAUUCCAAGUGUAGCGGUGAAAUGCGUAGAGAUUUGGAGGAACACCAGUGGCGAAGGCGGCUUUCUGGUCUGUAACUGACGCUGAGGCGCGAAAGCGUGGGGAGCAAACAGGAUUAGAUACCCUGGUAGUCCACGCCGUAAACGAUGAGUGCUAAGUGUUAGGGGGUUUCCCGCCCCCUUAGUGCUGCAGCUAACGCAUUAAGCACUCCGCCUGGGGAGUACGGCCGCAAGGCUG